UUUUAAAUGACCUUAUUCUUAUAUAUAUAGAUAGAUAGAUGAGAGAGAGAGCAAGAUUAGGACUAUUAGGCAACUUUGUUUCAAGUCCCACCCCACCACCCAUUCAUUUGAAGAUAUUGGAGAUUUGCCCAGCUAACUACAGUUGUUCCCACGUUUAUGAAAUGGCAACAAGAGCUAUCCCUACUUACUUAUAUGGUCAUGGUAAAGAUAAUGCAUAUGAAAUGAGAAUCAGAAGAACUGGCACAUAGUACCUAACUAAUCAGUAUAUGUCAGCCAUUGCCGUUAUUGUCAUCAGUAUUAUAAUGAGGAAAAUAAUUUGUUAACAUAACUUGGAAAGAGGAAAGAAUUUAAGUUUCAUGUAAAUAGCUAUUUAUUUCAUUUACUUAGCAAAUAAUUUCUGAGAACCUAAUAUGCUCCCAGCCCUAGCCCAAGUUAGAUGCUUGGGACACCUAACCUCACAGAGUUUACAAGCUAGCAGUUUUAGAUAAAACCAAGGACCUGCUCGAGAUUAAAAUUUCUGGUGCCAGCAUCAUUGUUACAAAUAUUAAUUUAUUAUUUUUAUUCUUCAUGUAUAUCAGUACUAUAUAUAUUUAAAUUAAGUUGAAAAAAAGUAAUUUAGGAAAAAAUGGGUGUUCACAAAUUUGCUGGUAGAUUUUGUUGAUUUUGAGGCUGUUAUGGGAUAUACAAGUGGACUGAAUUUAUAGGGAUUAAAUUUCAGGAAAGGAAAAGGUUAUGGAGUCGCCAAGCUAAUGUUAAUUGAAGCCAUGGAAAUUGAUGAAACGGGCUCAUCAAGAGUACAUGUGGAGUAUAUUCCACAUACAGCAUAGUCACACAAGCCUUUGGCGACCUUAGAAAGAGCAGUUUCAGACAAGCAGACAAAGCAAGCAGCGUGUUGAGGUGCAAAUGCCCAUGAGAGAGAAUAUAGACAAGACUUGGAAAUGGUUAGCUGUGAGAAGAGAUAAGAGUUACAAUACAGCUAAAAGUGAACUUGGAAUAAAGGGAGGAUUUAUGCACAUAAGCAUUUUUGUUUGAAAGGGAAAGGUAUUUUGACUUGUUUAAUCAGGAAAGAGGGAGAAGGCUGAACAUGAAAAAGAAAAUGUCAUUUCAAUUAGGGCUCUUAGAAUAUGCCCAUGUGCAAGAUUCAGAGUAUGCAUGAAGGCAUUGGUUUAUAGAGGAAAAGAUAUCAUCAGAAGGGAAGGAUAAAAGGAUUUGGGGUACAAGUUAGCAGGAACCUCCUAGUUCCUAUCUCACAGAUGCUAUGUUCUCUGCACAUCAACUAUUAAAAAGGAAGAGAGAAGAGUGGUGGUGGGGUUAGAGCAUGGGAAAGUAGAAAAAGUCUGAUGUAAAACCAUGAGGAAUAGAAGAAAGAUACUUGUCCACAAAAGCAGAUGAGUUGCUUGGCAUAGUAGAGAGCUCAGAUGAGCUUGUCAUGUCAAAUGCUCACCCUGUUCGCUUGGCAUGUAUCAUCUCUGAGCCUCAUCCAGAAGGACUUUGGCAAACCUCCCUUCUUUUCACCUUCCAAUAAAGGGUUAACUCCAGGUUAUUUUAUGUUGUAUUUCCAAAUUUUCUUGAACAAAGUAUAUCGAUUUUAAAUUCAGAUUAAUUGUUUUAAACAUGACUGAAUCAAACAUAAUACUGUAUGAUUAAAAUCUCAAUGAAUUUUUAGUUAACAUACCUUGAGUAUGUCUAAAAGGAUUUGUAACAUCCUUCCCUCCUAUAAAUGAAUGAUGAUGCAAGAUUGCCAAAUCUUUGCACUCAUACAUAUAGACAGAGCAAAGAAGGAAAACACAGUGGAGUGGAAACCCAAAUAAUUUUGCUCUAAGCCAGAUGCAUGUUACUAGGGGAAAAAAAAUUGUUUGUGGUCCUGAUUAACAAGGAUAACUGCUCAACUGACACUCUGCAUUUUCUCUCUCUCUCUCUUUCUCCCUCUUCCCUCCCUCUCUUGCAGUUGGACCCUUUUGUUUCCAAGAUACCUUCUAGUUUAACUCUGUGGCUCACUUGGGUGUCUCUGAUACUGUCUGAGGUUGCCUGGCAACAUGACCGAUAGAAUACUCACCAGUCUGUGUGGUAGCUGUAUUUUUUGGCUUGCAGCCUCAGUGGAUCACAAGCAGAAUGCUACAGAUGUAAAGAAAGAUCAUAUAUGGAAAUUUAACUCAAUGAAACAUUUCAUAUACAAAGUCAUAGAUGUGCCUUGCUUGUCUGACCACUUCAAGGUAUCCAACAGACCAGGUGUAUGAGGAGCUACAACACUACAUGUAACAGCUUCUUUUGCAACUAAGAGUAAUGAUAGCUAGAUAGAGAACAUUGGGCAGAGCUUCCAGGGAAUCUCUUUGAGGAGAAAUAAAUCAGCUGGUAGCAGGCCCUUUGUCAGUGCAUUUUUUAGUUUUUGCAUUCUUGCCUUUUAGAACACAAAUGUGAUGGGUGGGCUGCAAUAUUCAUCUUAAACUAUCGGAAAGCUCUUGAGGAUGAAGUCGUAUGGCUAAGAUGGUGGAACAGGACUACACAAGGAGAAGAGUUUCCUAAUGACCUAGGAGCUAUGAUUCCAGCCCUACAAUGCCAGUGACCAGGUUUCCUUUAUGCAGAUUUCUGGGGUUACUAAGCAAAGAGAUGAACUAAAUUUCAAGGAGCCACUCUGAGGAAAGACAGGACAUAUGAACCAUUUUACCUUUGACAGAAUGAAUAUGAGAGGAAUGGAUGAUCACCAUGAAAGUGGGUAAGAAGAAAACAACUGAAAUUGUAACAAAUAAUUAAGGGCCAGAAUGGGCCAACAGAACAGUAUAGACACUCUGAGUGGAUAUCCACUCUGAGUGGAUACUACACCAUCCACACACACACAAGGGGAUAUGCAUUCAUUCAAAAAAUGCCUUACAAAUAAAGACUGAGGCCAGGGAAUAAUUCACAGAGAGCUCUUUGGUAGCAAAAAGGCACAAAAUCCUUCCCAAUUCCCCAGAUCCUUCUCUAAUAUUAUACAAAUCAAAAGUUAGCCUUUAGGAUCAAAACCUUCAUACUCCAAGGUCCUGGGAAAGAUGCAUAGUUUCUGGAGUAGUAGAAGCAAAAUUCCAGGGCCCCUGCGGGAGGGACAGGUAACUUUGUUGCAUCCAGAACUCCACACUGACACAAAACAUAGAUCUGCUAACACUGGGGUAAGAGCAGGACACCCUCUCCAUAUAAAGAACCCCAAAGAUUCAAGGAGCUUGAGCACCAUGGGAGGAAUGGGCAGAAAUGCUGAAAGAGCCAUACACCUGAGGUCCAGGAAUACAGGCUGUGUCUAAGAUAAAGACUGAAGAAAAGGAACCAAGAACCCUCCUGUUUCCACCAGGAAUACUGCACUAACAAGCGGCAGCAUGUUAGCACUGGGGGAGAUGCAAGAGUGUAAUAAGAGGCCUCCUCCCUUAUGGGAGCAUGCAAGAAACACUGAAAGGGCUGCAGAAAAGCAUUGAGAAAAAUCCUCUGGCACCCCAGGUCCCACAUUAAGCAAGAAGUUUGUGGGGGAAAAAAUCAACAUAAAUCACCAGACUAACAAAGUAAAAGAGAACAGUCAUUUGAUAAUCUCAACAGAUGCAGAAGCAUUUGAUAAAAAUCCAAAACCUGUCUAUGAUUAAGAAUCCUAUCAAAAUCAGAAUAAAAAUAAUUUUUCUCAAUGUAAUAUAUGCUAUUUACAAAAUGACUACAGUAAACAUCAUUUGUAAUAGUAAAAUGAUGAGUGUUCCCUUUGAUUUGAGAAUAAGACCAAACUGUCCACUCAUCCCA
Molecule: non-coding RNA, 3750 nt
Organism: Microcebus murinus (gray mouse lemur)
Lineage: Eukaryota; Metazoa; Chordata; Mammalia; Primates; Cheirogaleidae
Source: RefSeq, a predicted model, not a curated record